Molecule: ribosomal RNA, 534 nt
Filed under: Salmonella enterica
Lineage: Bacteria; Pseudomonadati; Pseudomonadota; Gammaproteobacteria; Enterobacterales; Enterobacteriaceae
Description: partial 23S ribosomal RNA
Rfam family: Bacterial large subunit ribosomal RNA
Source: RNAcentral
GCGUUAAGUUGCAGGGUAUAGACCCGAAACCCGGUGAUCUAGCCAUGGGCAGGUUGAAGGUUGGGUAACACUAACUGGAGGACCGAACCGACUAAUGUUGAAAAAUUAGCGGAUGACCUGUGGCUGGGGGUGAAAGGCCAAUCAAACCGGGAGAUAGCUGGUUCUCCCCGAAAGCUAUUUAGGUAGCGCCUCGUGAAUUCAUCUCCGGGGGUAGAGCACUGUUUCGGCUAGGGGGCCAUCCCGGCUUACCAACCCGAUGCAAACUGCGAAUACCGGAGAAUGUUAUCACGGGAGACACACGGCGGGUGCUAACGUCCGUCGUGAAGAGGGAAACAACCCAGACCGCCAGCUAAGGUCCCAAAGUCAUGGUUAAGUGGGAAACGAUGUGGGAAGGCCCAGACAGCCAGGAUGUUGGCUUAGAAGCAGCCAUCAUUUAAAGAAAGCGUAAUAGCUCACUGGUCGAGUCGGCCUGCGCGGAAGAUGUAACGGGGCUAAACCAUGCACCGAAGCUGCGGCAGCGAACGUAUCACCCAA